GAGGGUAUAGCUCAGUGGUAGAGCACAUGCUUAGCCUGCACGAGGUCCUGGGUCAGUCCCCAGUACCUCCA
Molecule: transfer RNA, 71 nt
Filed under: Camelus bactrianus (Bactrian camel)
Lineage: Eukaryota; Metazoa; Chordata; Mammalia; Artiodactyla; Camelidae
Also listed under: 1 other name
Rfam family: tRNA
About the family: Transfer RNA (tRNA) molecules are approximately 80 nucleotides in length. Their secondary structure includes four short double-helical elements and three loops (D, anti-codon, and T loops).
Source: Rfam by way of RNAcentral